Molecule: ribosomal RNA, 253 nt
Filed under: uncultured bacterium
Lineage: Bacteria
Description: partial 16S ribosomal RNA
Rfam family: Bacterial small subunit ribosomal RNA
Source: RNAcentral
UACGUAGGGGGCAAGCGUUGUCCGGAAUCAUUGGGCGUAAAGCGCGUGUAGGCGGCCUGCCAAGUCUGCUGUGAAAGCGCCUGGCUUAACCGGGCGAGGUCGGUGGAAACUGGCGGGCUGGAGGACGGUAGAGGGGGGUGGAAUUCCCGGUGUAGUGGUGAAAUGCGUAGAGAUCGGGAGGAACACCAGUGGCGAAGGCGGCCCCCUGGGCCGUUCCUGACGCUGAGACGCGAAGGCGCGGGGAGCGAACGGG